CCUACGGGUGGCUGCAGUCGAGAAUCUUCGGCAAUGGGGGAAACCCUGACCGAGCGACGCCGCGUGCGAGAUGAAGGCCUUCGGGUUGUAAAUCGCUGUCAGAGGGGAGGAAAUGUCGGUGGGUUCUCCCACCGAUUUGACCUAUCCUCAGAGGAAGGACGGGCUAAGUUCGUGCCAGCAGCCGCGGUAAGACGAACCGUCCAAACGUUAUUCGGAAACACUGGGCUUGGAGGGUGCGUAGGCGGGGCGUGAAAGCCCUCGGCUCAAACGAGGAAUUGCGUCCAAAACUGCCGGACUUGAGGGAGACAUAGGUGAGCGGAACUUAGGGUGGAGCGGUGAAAUGCGUUGAGAUCCUAAGGAACACCAGUAGCGAAAGCGGCUCACUGGGUCUCUUCUGACGCUGAUGCACGAAAGCUAGGGGAGCGAAGAGGAUUAGAUACCCCUGUAGUC
Molecule: ribosomal RNA, 450 nt
Filed under: uncultured bacterium
Lineage: Bacteria
Description: partial 16S ribosomal RNA
Rfam family: Bacterial small subunit ribosomal RNA
Source: RNAcentral